GUGCGUGUUGGACUACUCCAAUGUGACACAGUAAGACUGAGCUCUGAGGAUUGAUAUCAAGUGCUUUCUGGAAAUGCAUUUCUGCUAAACUGAAUUUUUCCUGUUUGUAAUAAAUCAUUCCCAAUCCAUACCAUGCAUUAUAGUGUCUAGGGUUGACUCUGAUUGCAUUCCUAAAACAAGCUAGUGCUUUGUCUAGCUCUUCUGUUAACACAAAUUCAUGCCCCAAAAGGGUGUAGGCGUAAGCAUAGUUUGGAUCAACUUGAAUGGCUCUCUGGAAGAACUUGAUUGCAAUGUCGUGCUCUCGUUGCAAGCUGAAGCAGUUCCCUGCAGCACACCAUGCCUCUGGUGAGUUUUUAUCCAUGUCUGUUAAAUCCUUUGAAAGAACUGAAAGAGCAACGUCUUUCUGCAGAUGCCACAGCGUAGUUGAAUAGAUCUCCAUGCCUUCUACUCUGUAGUUUUCAAUCCUCCUCACUUCUGAAAAUAUCCUUUCAGCCUGCAUGUAU
RNAcentral lists this long non-coding RNA (503 nucleotides) under Gallus gallus (chicken). The record is from RNAcentral. Lineage: Eukaryota; Metazoa; Chordata; Aves; Galliformes; Phasianidae.